CCGGCGGCGGCGACGGGCGCGCGCGCGGUGCUCGCUGCCCCCACGCUGCUCCCUCGGCUGGGAUCGCGGCGUCUCCCGCUCGCCGCACUGCUCCACGCCUGGCCCGUGGCUCCGGAGGCGGCAGUCGUGCCAGGUGGGCUCGGGUGGACAGGCGCGGCGGUCGGGGCGAGGCGGCGGCACGGGUGGACAGCGCGGAACCCAGCAAGUUCCUCGCAGGCGAUGUCGCCGGGCGCGGGCCCCUGCGUACGCCGGGCGCCGUGACAGGCCAGCCGGGGAGGCGCGGACGGGGGAGGCCGCGACGGAGCUCCCGGACUGGCCAUGGGCUGAGCCGCAUCCUCACGGAGCAGG
RNAcentral lists this long non-coding RNA (348 nucleotides) under Rattus norvegicus (Norway rat). RNAcentral describes it as "long non-coding RNA NONRATT015696". Lineage: Eukaryota; Metazoa; Chordata; Mammalia; Rodentia; Muridae. The record is from RNAcentral.